This 886-nucleotide ribosomal RNA is filed under the name Peyssonnelia sp. K186. Its description in RNAcentral is "LSU rRNA". It matches the Rfam family "Eukaryotic large subunit ribosomal RNA", at positions 1276 to 2178 of the family's 3401-position model. Lineage: Eukaryota; Rhodophyta; Florideophyceae; Peyssonneliales; Peyssonneliaceae. The record is from RNAcentral.
GAGUGUGUAACAACUCACUUGCCGAAUGAAUUAGCCCUGAAAAUGGAUGGCGCUGAAGCGGGCGGCCGACACCGCGCCGUGUGACCGAGCUUUGUGUCACAUGAGUAGGAGGGCGUGGCGGGCGUGGCGAAGCGUGGGCGCGAGCCUGCGUGGAACGGUCCGCUAGUGCAGAUCUUGGUGGUAGUAGCAAGUAUUCAAGCGAGAACCUUGAAGGGCGAAGCGGGGAAGGGUUCCACGCGAACAUUGAUUGGGCGUGGGUGAGUCGUUCCUAAGCCGAGUGGCAAUUGCUAAGUAGCGGCGAAAGGGAAGCGGGUUGAAAUUCCCGCACACGGAUGUGGAGCGCGGCGACGCGAAAUGGGGGCGAACACGCUGGCGAUGGCGCUGGGCAGAGUUGUCUUUUCUGUUUGACCGAGUGUGCGGGCGGUGUGGAAUCCGCUUGUCGGGAGAAACACGCGCGCACGGGCAGAGCGCCGGGGCUUUUCCGGCGUCCAGCUCGCCAUCGACGGCCCUUGAAACUUUGCCUGCUGAGAAAUAUAAUUAAAAAUCCACGCCGUGGCGUACCGAUCACCGCAUCAGGUCCCCGAGGUGAACAGCCUCUGCUCGAUAUGAAAAAUGCAGGUAAGGGAAGUCGGCAAAUUGGACCCGUAACUUUGGGAAAAGGGUUGGCUCUAGUGCUGCGUGGGAGUGGUUGUCUGUGUUUGGGGGCGGAGGGAGGGCGGCUUGGCGCGGCGGCCCCUGUUAUUUUUGUGGGGGAAGCUGUUCUGGGCUGCUCACUCACUGUUUGCAUUACGGACGACGCCCACAGCAUGCAGCAGACUAGAACUGCAACGGGCAAAGGGAAUCCGACUGUUUAAUUAAAACAAAGCAUUGAGAAGGCCGUGGGCGG